RNAcentral lists this ribosomal RNA (455 nucleotides) under uncultured Gammaproteobacteria bacterium. Its description in RNAcentral is "bacterial SSU rRNA". It matches the Rfam family "Bacterial small subunit ribosomal RNA", at positions 544 to 997 of the family's 1533-position model. Lineage: Bacteria; Pseudomonadati; Pseudomonadota; Gammaproteobacteria. The record is from RNAcentral.
AUCGGAAUUACUGGGCGUAAAGCGUGCGUAGGCGGUUCGUUAAGUCAGAUGUGAAAGCCCUGGGCUCAACCUGGGAACUGCAUUUGAAACUGGCGGACUAGAGUUUAGUAGAGGGGAGUGGAAUUUCAGGUGUAGCGGUGAAAUGCGUAGAUAUCUGAAGGAACACCAGUGGCGAAGGCGACUCCCUGGACUAGAACUGACGCUGAGGUACGAAAGCGUGGGUAGCAAACAGGAUUAGAUACCCUGGUAGUCCACGCCGUAAACGAUGUCAACUAGCCGUUGGUCCUAUUUACAGGAUUAGUGGCGCAGCUAACGCAUUAAGUUGACCGCCUGGGGAGUACGGCCGCAAGGUUAAAACUCAAAUGAAUUGACGGGGGCCCGCACAAGCGGUGGAGCAUGUGGUUUAAUUCGAUGCAACGCGAAGAACCUUACCUACCCUUGACAUCCAUAGAAUC